ACGACCAUAGAGUGUGGAAAACGGCUUCCCGUCCGCUCAGCCGCACUUAAACCACACAUCGACCGGUUAGUAGCUGGGUGCGUGGCCACGAACGAAUCCCGCCUGUUGUAUGUU
This 114-nucleotide ribosomal RNA is filed under the name Aspergillus udagawae. The record is from RNAcentral. Lineage: Eukaryota; Fungi; Ascomycota; Eurotiomycetes; Eurotiales; Aspergillaceae.